Eupeodes corollae is the source of this 182-nucleotide long non-coding RNA. RefSeq lists it as uncharacterized. The record is from RefSeq and is a predicted model, not a curated record. NCBI's taxonomy places the organism in Eukaryota, Metazoa, Arthropoda, Insecta, Diptera, Syrphidae. The transcript is spliced from 3 exons.
AUUUUGCAAAACAAAACAAUGGGUUUCGGAUUUUAAGAACCAAAAAUCUUUAUAAUGAAGAGAGGAUAUACAAGUUCACUUAAUUAAAUAAAAAAUGCUGCCAAUAACAUACUAUAAUGCAGGAAGCAUUUUCCUUGAAGAAAUCUGGGAGACAAAGCAACAAGGUGCUGAUUUGCAGGCAA